UACUGUUGGCUUCAGACACACCAAAAGGAUAGGCAAUGCAUCAGGUGUGGAUGUAAUGAUAAGGGAAAGUAAAUAUUUGAUUUGUCGAAAUCAUUCACAUAAGUUCAUUGGCCUGUUGAGUGGGCAUUGAUUUGACCUCAUAUACACUGAGCUCGUAUUCGGUAUCCCAGCAAUUUUAUCACACUUUGCUACCAAUCUUCCAGC
Molecule: long non-coding RNA, 204 nt
Filed under: Capsicum annuum
Lineage: Eukaryota; Viridiplantae; Streptophyta; Magnoliopsida; Solanales; Solanaceae
Description: long non-coding RNA (CANN_LNC017662)
Source: RNAcentral